This is a microRNA precursor of Oryza sativa Indica Group (long-grained rice), 204 nucleotides long. It matches the Rfam family "MIR812 microRNA precursor family". The record is from Rfam. NCBI's taxonomy places the organism in Eukaryota, Viridiplantae, Streptophyta, Magnoliopsida, Poales, Poaceae.
UUUAAAUACAACCAUAAGUUUCAUAUCUAAUUUUAAUCGUUCGUCUUAUUUGAAAUUCUUUUAUAAUUAGUAUUUUUAUUACUAUGAUAUGAUAAAACAUGAAUAAUAUUUUAUGCGUGACUUAUGUUUUUAAUUUUUUUAAAAAAGUUUUCAAAUAAGACGGAUGAUCAAAAUUAAGUACGGAAAAUCACCGCUACACUUAAA